RNAcentral lists this non-coding RNA (30 nucleotides) under Rattus norvegicus (Norway rat). Lineage: Eukaryota; Metazoa; Chordata; Mammalia; Rodentia; Muridae. The record is from RNAcentral.
UAACACAGCAAUAGGAAAGAAACUGAUACA